GGAGAGGUGCAAGAGUGGUUGAAUUGGCACGCCUGGAAAGCGUGUAUACCGCAAGGUAUCGAGGGUUCGAAUCCCUCUCUCUCCGCAA
RNAcentral lists this transfer RNA (88 nucleotides) under Bacteroidota bacterium. Its description in RNAcentral is "Bacteroidetes bacterium (freshwater sediment metagenome) tRNA-Ser". It matches the Rfam family "tRNA". Rfam says of the family: Transfer RNA (tRNA) molecules are approximately 80 nucleotides in length. Their secondary structure includes four short double-helical elements and three loops (D, anti-codon, and T loops). Further hydrogen bonds mediate the characteristic L-shaped molecular structure. tRNAs have two regions of fundamental functional importance: the anti-codon, which is responsible for specific mRNA codon recognition, and the 3' end, to which the tRNAs corresponding amino acid is attached (by aminoacyl-tRNA synthetases). tRNAs cope with the degeneracy of the genetic code in two manners: having more than one tRNA (with a specific anti-codon) for a particular amino acid; and 'wobble' base-pairing, i.e. permitting non-standard base-pairing at the 3rd anti-codon position. Lineage: Bacteria; Pseudomonadati; Bacteroidota. The record is from RNAcentral.